This is a non-coding RNA of Caenorhabditis elegans, 21 nucleotides long. The record is from Ensembl. Lineage: Eukaryota; Metazoa; Nematoda; Chromadorea; Rhabditida; Rhabditidae.
UUCCAUUGAUAAUUGAUGAUU